This 468-nucleotide ribosomal RNA is filed under the name uncultured bacterium. RNAcentral's name for it is "partial 16S ribosomal RNA". It matches the Rfam family "Bacterial small subunit ribosomal RNA", at positions 28 to 507 of the family's 1533-position model. The record is from RNAcentral.
GACGAACGCUGGCGGCGUGCUUAACACAUGCAAGUCGAACGGAAAGGCCCUGCUUUUGUGGGGUGCUCGAGUGGCGAACGGGUGAGUAACACGUGAGUAACCUGCCCUUGACUUUGGGAUAACUUCAGGAAACUGGGGCUAAUACCGGAUAGGAGCUCCUGCUGCAUGUUGGGGGUUGGAAAGUUUCGGCGGUUGGGGAUGGACUCGCGGCUUAUCAGCUUGUUGGUGGGGUAGUGGCUUACCAAGGCUUUGACGGGUAGCCGGCCUGAGAGGGUGACCGGCCACAAUGGGACUGCGAUACGGCCCAGACUCCAACGGGAGGCAGCAGUGGAGAAUAUUGCACAAUGGGCGGAAGCCUGAUGCAGCAACGCCGCGUGCGGGAUGACGGCCUUCGGGUUGUAAACCGCUUUCGCCUGUGACGAGGCGUGAGUGACGGUAAUGGGUAAAGAAGCACCGGCUAACUACGUG